AGUUUGAUCCUGGCUCAGGAUGAACGCUGGCGGCGUGCUUAACACAUGCAAGUCGAACGAAGCGAUUUAGCGGAAGUUUUCGGAUGGAAGCUAGAUUGACUGAGUGGCGGACGGGUGAGUAACGCGUGGGUAACCUGCCUCAUACAGGGGGAUAACAGUUAGAAAUGACUGCUAAUACCGCAUAAGCGCACGAGGAUGCAUGUUCUUGUGUGAAAAACUCCGGUGGUAUGAGAUGGACCCGCGUCUGAUUAGCUAGUUGGAGGGGUAACGGCCCACCAAGGCGACGAUCAGUAGCCGACCUGAGAGGGUGACCGGCCACAUUGGGACUGAGACACGGCCCAAACUCCUACGGGAGGCAGCAGUGGGGAAUAUUGCACAAUGGGGGAAACCCUGAUGCAGCAACGCCGCGUGAGUGAAGAAGUAUUUCGGUAUGUAAAGCUCUAUCAGCAGGGAAGAAGAUGACGGUACCUGAGUAAGAAGCCCCGGCUAACUACGUG
This 497-nucleotide ribosomal RNA is filed under the name uncultured Lachnospiraceae bacterium. RNAcentral describes it as "bacterial SSU rRNA". It matches the Rfam family "Bacterial small subunit ribosomal RNA", at positions 10 to 507 of the family's 1533-position model. The record is from RNAcentral. Lineage: Bacteria; Bacillati; Bacillota; Clostridia; Lachnospirales; Lachnospiraceae.